ACCUAGCUGGCUCAGUUGGCAGAGCAUCUGACUCUUGCUCUCAGGGUCGUGAGUUCAAGCCCCACAUUGGGUG
This 73-nucleotide transfer RNA is filed under the name Ailuropoda melanoleuca (giant panda). It matches the Rfam family "tRNA". Rfam says of the family: Transfer RNA (tRNA) molecules are approximately 80 nucleotides in length. Their secondary structure includes four short double-helical elements and three loops (D, anti-codon, and T loops). The record is from Rfam by way of RNAcentral. Lineage: Eukaryota; Metazoa; Chordata; Mammalia; Carnivora; Ursidae.